CCUACGGGUGGCAGCAGUGAGGAAUAUUGGUCAAUGGGGGAAACCCUGAACCAGCCACGCCGCGUGAGGGAAGACGGUCUUCGGAUUGUAAACCUCUGUCCACUGUGAAGAAAAUGACGGUAGCUGAGGAGGAAGCUCCGGCUAACUACGUGCCAGCAGCCGCGGUAAUACGUAGGGAGCAAGCGUUGUCCGGAUUUACUGGGUGUAAAGGGUGCGUAGGCGGCUGUGCAAGUCAGAAGUGAAAUGCUGGGGCUUAACCCGCGAACUGCUGUUGAAACUGUAGGGCUUGAGUGAAGUAGAGGUAGGCGGAAUUCCUGGUGUAGCGGUGAAAUGCGUAGAGAUCAGGAGGAACACCAGUGGCGAAGGCGGCCUACUGGACUUUAACUGACGCUGAGGCACGAAAGCGUGGGUAGCAAACAGGAUUAGAUACCCCAGUAGUC
RNAcentral lists this ribosomal RNA (440 nucleotides) under uncultured bacterium. RNAcentral's name for it is "partial 16S ribosomal RNA". It matches the Rfam family "Bacterial small subunit ribosomal RNA", at positions 338 to 795 of the family's 1533-position model. The record is from RNAcentral.